Molecule: long non-coding RNA, 303 nt
Organism: Dreissena polymorpha
Lineage: Eukaryota; Metazoa; Mollusca; Bivalvia; Myida; Dreissenidae
Exons: 4
Source: RefSeq, a predicted model, not a curated record
ACCUUAUCUCGUUUUGUUUUAAGAAAAUAAACAAACGAUACUAUUCCGUCUGAGGCAGUUAUGUUAGUAGGGCAGUGUUUUUUUUACUUGAAGCGAAACAAGAAAUUUCGUUUUUCAUCGAAGAAAACACAAUCCAAUGCAAGACUCCUUGACACAAGAUGUACAAUGAGCAAACCUCCACCACCAAAGAAGAGGAGAACUAUCACUGAUUAUUUUGCUAGCAGUUCUAAGUUGCCAAGAGAAACCAGGGACGAUUCAGCCAUGGCUUCUGCUCCUGAAAAUGAACAAGAACGUAAGUAUGCA